GCGUGCGGGAAGAAGGCCUUCGGGUUGUAAACCGCUUUUGUCGGGGAAGAAAUCUUUUGGGCUAACACCUCGAAAGGAUGACGGUACCCGAAGAAUAAGCACCGGCUAACUACGUGCCAGCAGCCGCGGUAAUACGUAGGGUGCAAGCGUUAAUCGGAAUUACUGGGCGUAAAGCGUGCGCAGGCGGUUGUGCAAGCCAGAUGUGAAAUCCCCGGGCUCAACCUGGGAAUGGCAUUUGUGACUGCACGGCUCGAGUGCGGCAGAGGGGGAUGGAAUUCCGCGUGUAGCAGUGAAAUGCGU
RNAcentral lists this ribosomal RNA (300 nucleotides) under uncultured bacterium. Its description in RNAcentral is "bacterial SSU rRNA". It matches the Rfam family "Bacterial small subunit ribosomal RNA", at positions 399 to 691 of the family's 1533-position model. The record is from RNAcentral.